This 233-nucleotide ribosomal RNA is filed under the name uncultured bacterium. Its description in RNAcentral is "partial 16S ribosomal RNA". It matches the Rfam family "Bacterial small subunit ribosomal RNA", at positions 794 to 1026 of the family's 1533-position model. The record is from RNAcentral.
UCCACGCCCUAAACGAUGCACACUAGUUGUUGCUAUGCUAGACAUAGCAGUAAUGCAGUUAACACAGUAAGUGUGCCGCCUGGGGAGUACGGUCGCAAGAUUAAAACUCAAAGGAAUAGACGGGGACCCGCACAAGCGGUGGAGCAUGUGGUUUAAUUCGACGAUACGCGAAGAACCUUACCUGGCCUUGACAUAGGAAGAACUUACUAGAGAUAGUUUGGUGCUAGUUACUA